Molecule: long non-coding RNA, 316 nt
Filed under: Salvia miltiorrhiza (redroot sage)
Lineage: Eukaryota; Viridiplantae; Streptophyta; Magnoliopsida; Lamiales; Lamiaceae
Description: long non-coding RNA (SMIL_LNC003742)
Source: RNAcentral
AAAUUUAAAAUAAAAACACGCAACAUGUUAAUUUAAAUACCAAGUAAAAACAUACAUAAUUAUAACAUUAAUCACCGUGCCAAAUAGUGUCCUCGCGUAAAUGGAGGAAAAAUAACAAAUAUAAAAUAGAAAAUGACACUUAAUUUAUUUUAUUAAAGUAAAAAACAAAUUUUUGAAAUAAAGGAAAAAAAAUACAAGAAACGAAAAAAAGAAGAAUCAAACCACAUUUUAAAGAAAAAACAAACAACUGUACAUAAAUGCAGGAAAUUUUCCAAAAAAAAGAAAAGUAAAGAAAAGGUCAUCAAUCAGCCACAAG